CGCCCCUUCCCCCGGAUGCGGGCCGGGAUGGCGCUGCCCACCCCGCGCUACGAGCACCUGGGCCCCGGGGGGCCCUUUCGGGACGUGUACGAGCCGGCCGAGGACACCUUCCUGCUGCUCGAUGCGCUGGAGCGGGACGCGGGCAGCCUGCGGGAGGCUCGAGUCGAGAUCUGCCUUGAAAUAGGAUCUGGAUCUGGUGUGGUUUCAACAUUUCUGGCUUCUUCCAUCCUUGGACCCAGUGCACUCUACAUAUGCACAGAUAUCAACCCCAUGGCAGCUUACUGUACCCAGGAGACAGCUCUGCUUAAUAAUGUCCACCUGCAGCCUGUCAUCACUGACUUGGUCAAAGGAUUAUCCCCGAGAUUAAAUGGGAAGGUUGAUCUACUGCUGUUUAACCCACCAUAUGUGGUAACACCUUCUGAAGAGGUGAAAAGCUGUGGAAUAGAGGCAUCCUGGGCUGGGGGCACACAGGGCAGAGAAGUAAUGGAUAGAGUUUUCCCACUAGUACCAGACCUGCUUUCACCAGGAGGAUUAUUCUACUUGGUCACAAUUAAAGAAAACAAUCCAGAUGAAAUUUUGGAAACAAUGAAGAAAAGUGGCUUAAAAGGCACACAAGUACUUUCCAGGCAAGCAGGACAAGAGAUGCUGACAAUCCUCAGAUUCAGGAAAUCUUGAUAACUUCUCUUUACCUGCCAGGUAGUAGGCAUGAAGAAAAUGAAAAAAACUCUGAACACAGAGUUUUCAGCUGGUAAACACUGAAGUGAAUGCAAUCUGCCCUUUGCUGAUGGCAGGCACUUACUCAUUACAAGCAAAACAUCAAGAAAGAAAUGAACCCAAAAAGUGAACUAGGGAACAAAAUAUCAAUGGGUUCAUGAUGAUCUAAUAUCCUCUGACAAUACCAGUGCCACACACCAGAGAGUCUGACUUCUACAAGCCAUGCACACGUAUCACUUUUAAUUUGUAACCUUCAGUUGUCAUUGGUCAGAACCAGGAUCAUUUUACACCAUCAGCAUUCACAACAAACUGCAAGCAGCAGUGUUAAGAUAUCCUUCUGUUGGCUUAUAAAGUUCUUUCCUCUCCCAGGAUCAGCGUUCUCAGCAUGGAUCACUUUGGCCUUGAUUAAGGACCAGAGUCUUCCACGUCCCUGUGACCUUCAGAGAAGAAGAAAGAGCCUGGUUAAAAUACAGAGGUGCUCAGAGUUCAGCACAAAAGCAUUUGGAGGAAGUUUGGAUCUGCACAGAUGGAAAUACAGUGGCACUUUAUACAAUGCAAAAUGUGAAGGCAGAGCUAGGAGUUGUUUCACUUGUUCUCACAUAGCUGUCAGAUACUUUUAAUACUCAGGGUACUGAACUUCUCAUCUCUUCCAGCAUGUGAGGAUGUUCCAGCUGCAGAUAAGGAGGAUUCUCCAAUUCUUCAGUCCCUUGUAAUGAGCACAACAGUUCUGCAGCUCAUUCAACACCUUCCCCAAGCUUCAGAGAUGGCUUCUCAAGGAAAGAUGGAAAAUUUUAUUUUAGUAACUGAAACCACAGAGCGAGACACAGCGUUCUGAGAGUGGGCUCCAGGAAGUCUGCUGAAAAUUACCUUUUAACACUGCAUGAAGGAGGUUUUAGUGCCUUAAAGGAGCAGCAGUGUCCCAGUGUCCCAUCAGCUCCGUGCCUGUCACUGGUGAUCACAGAGCUCAGGAUUUCCUGCUGCACCAGCCAAGGUAGCCCCUGUAGUUUUACUCCUCUAAUUCCCUGUUAGAGGAGGGGUCAGCUCUUUCAUUUUGAUGCAAGUCCUUCACAACAUGAGAUUCUUUGCAUCCCCCCACUUUUCCCUCAGCAGUUUCAGUGUCAGAGAAGCCCUUCCUGAAAAGAUCUGAGGCCUUGGGUAGCUGCAAGAUCCUGUACCUACAAAUGGUUUACUGCAGUGUCAAAAUGCACAACAAUUACUCCACCUGGUAUUCACUUGGAGCAGAAGGUAUCAUUAGGGAAUUUCUGUCACCAUGAAGAAAAUCAGGAAUUGACAGGAAGCAAGAGGUUUUGUACAACCAGUCCUGAAACAGAAUUCAGUGUCAUUGCACAGGUAAAUCAAACAAAUGCUUCAAUAUCUGAUGUCACCUUAGGCUACAGCAGCAGCAGCUCCUUCAAUUUUCCUGUCCCCAUCCAUUUCUUGUGUCUUAUAUUACACCACUCUGUGUGAACCACCACGUUCUUAAUCCACUUGACAGGUAAAAUAAGAGAUUAUGCAUAAAUUCUAUAAAAAAGGAAUACCUUUAUUUUUUUUUAAAGAGACCGUUUUUUCAUUACCAAGCGAAAACUUUACAAUGUAAAGUAUUUCUCUUCAGUAUUGUUUUAAUAUAAAAACUUAAAUCACUUACUCUGGUCUUACUGUUCCUACAGGGAGUCUUGUGGCACUGCAGGACCCAGGUAUCUUCAGCCUCACUCUAGUAUCUAAUCAUAAGUUCAUGACUUAUUUUUUUAAAUAAAACCAUUUCUGUGGCCACUCACCAUCAACAAAACAUCCCUACCACCAAACAAAAAUAAAGCAUCUUCAUCAGACCAAAAGAGACUAAACAGCACUAUUACAGUGAGAAACUUUGUUAAAAUAAAAAUAUUUUGAAAGUUAGACACGACUUUAAAAUUGUACAAAGACAACAAGCACUCAAAUUACACAGAGUAAGUAGCAGUGAGUACAAUGUGAAUGCAACAACAGUGAGUCUUGCCUCUUUUUAUAUGCAAUAUAAGUAGAGAUUCCUUGCCAAACUUCCAGCUUUUUUUUUUUCCUUUUUCCUGAAAAGCAGCUCAUUGUGCUGCAAAACCUAACAGGGAGCAUCUCACUCUUCAGUUCAACAGAAUUGCUAAAAGGGGCUCUGGCUGAAACCAGUCUUUCUAUCAUGAGAAUAUCCCAUACAGUGCAGAACAAGUUUCUUUCUCCACUGAAAAUCAAUUCCCUUUUAUUAAGCUGAAUGUUUCACCUUCCCAUGGGACCUGUCAAAUUACAGGCUUCAAAAUGAUUAAAAAUUCUGAAGCUUGCUCCUGUUUUUUCAAGAACAUGCUAGCUGAUACUGUCAUGGUGUGUCCAUGUAAGGAGUCACACAACAGAGAAUGGUCGUGUUUGUAUUUUACUCUAUGCAAGUGUUGUUUCAGGAAAAACACUUGGGACUCAUUUUAGAUAAUUUGGCUCAAUUAGUUUAAGUAUUGGUCAGAGAAGAAAAUAUUUAUUUAAUUUUUUUCUAUUACAUUUAGAGCUCAAAUAUAUCCCUAAAACCACAUGGCAGGAAGUAUCCCUUAGAGAUUGUCCCUAGGUUUGGCUGUGAAGUGAAAAGCUGACACUGUUACCAUCCUCCCUUUACUUCUGAGAGUUUUCUUCUUUACAGGAAAUACAUCUUGCACAAGAAAUUAAUCCCCCAUGGUGACUGUUCAAACAGCUCCAUUACAGCCUCAAAACUAGGAUUCAGUUAUUCCUUAGGUUUAGAUAGAUGAGAAAACUUCUGCUGUAAAUCUUCCCUGAGAUCAACAGCAAUUAAAAGAAAGUUAUGUUUUAGCCAACUGCAGCCAUACUGGCAAAACUGAAUGGUGAAAAGAACUUUCAGAACUGGUGUUCUGAAUUUGAGUGCUUGCAGGAGUCUGUUUCAUGACAGAAUGCAAUCACUUACUCAUAUUUUCUCUAAAAAUGCCUUGAUGAUUAGGGUUAUGUUCAUGAUUUUAAACUUACUUGUUCUUUCUAGAUUACCUGGAAGUGCUUUAUUUUUAAUAGCUUUACCCAUUAUUAAUGACUGUUGCAAUGGAUCAAUGUCCUGAUUUUCAGAAAAGCUUCAAAAGUAUUGUGGCUUUAUUUUUAAAUGAAAAUAGCCUAUUAUUAAGACAGCAGUGUCCUGCAAAUUGAGUCCAUGACACUUGCCAAUUGCUUCAUUUUUAUGUAAAACUGUAAAUUUGAAAGCAACUUGAUUUUUUUUCUUCUUUUUUUUUUCAGUUAUGCAGGAGCCUGUUUAAUGUUCCCAUGAAGCAUUUCAAAAUGUCUGUCAGUCUGUCAGUCAAGGGAAGAACACAGCAUCUAAUCUUAUAUAAAAUUCUUAUGGGGUGCAGCCUGAAAAAUCCCAUGUUAGCAAAACUGAGUGAACCAGCCCAAAUUCCUUUUGCCCAUCCCACUUCUCUAGCUGCUUUUCUUUUCUCAAUAUCCCAUUCUUCUCCAUUUGCUUCAAUUCUAAGAUAGCAUUGCUGAGGUUUCAAUGAAGAUUAAAAAUUAAAGCAAGGAUGUUGUUUCAGUGUAAGGAAACAGCAGCUCUGAGAAAAUGCUUUCAGUUCUUGUCAGGACAGAAAAGGCUGUUGGCAGUUUACCUUUCACUUGGCUUCAGAAGAUUUAUUAAACAGUUCUAGCCCAAGGCAGUUAAGGAUUUUAAGCUAAACCCAAGCUUGUGCAAUAAAAAAUUAUAUUUAGGAAGGCAUAUCUUGA
RNA transcript from Passer domesticus (house sparrow), 4434 nucleotides. It is a transcript of the gene named N-6 adenine-specific DNA methyltransferase 1, with no coding region annotated. The transcript has 8 exons. NCBI's taxonomy places the organism in Eukaryota, Metazoa, Chordata, Aves, Passeriformes, Passeridae. The record is from RefSeq and is a predicted model, not a curated record.